GCAGCCUUAGCUCACUUGGGAGAGCGCCAGACUGAAGUCCACUUCGGUUCGAAUGACUGAGGAUUAGUCAUGUUAUCUGGAGGUACUGAGUUCGAUCCUCAGAGGCUGCA
Piedraia hortae CBS 480.64 is the source of this 110-nucleotide non-coding RNA. The record is from the annotation of a GenBank genome assembly. NCBI's taxonomy places the organism in Eukaryota, Fungi, Ascomycota, Dothideomycetes, Capnodiales, Piedraiaceae.